Molecule: ribosomal RNA, 1647 nt
Filed under: Agrococcus lahaulensis
Lineage: Bacteria; Bacillati; Actinomycetota; Actinomycetes; Micrococcales; Microbacteriaceae
Description: partial 23S ribosomal RNA
Rfam family: Bacterial large subunit ribosomal RNA
Source: RNAcentral
UGUGGUCAAGUUUCUAAGAGCAAACGGUGGAUGCCUUGGCAUCUGGAGCCGAUGAAGGACGUAGUAAUCUGCGAUAAGCCUCGGGGAGCUGAUAAACGAGCUUUGAUCCGAGGAUCUCCGAAUGGGGAAACCCCGCUGGGCGGCGUGCCGACCCAGUGACUCCCGCCUGAAUAUAUAGGGCGGGUAGAGGGAACGUGGGGAAGUGAAACAUCUCAGUACCCACAGGAAGAGAAAACAACAGUGAUUCCGUAAGUAGUGGCGAGCGAACGCGGAAGAGGCUAAACCGAUCGUGUGUGAUAGCCGGCAGGCGUUGCACGAUCGGGGUUGUGGGACAUCUCAGCUGCUCUGCCGAGCAGCAAGCGUUACAGACCGCGGUAGGCGAAGAGCUUGGAAAGGCUCAUCGAAGAGGGUGACAAUCCCGUAGCCGAAACCGCGCAAUGGCGCGAGGUCCAUCCCAAGUAGCACGGGGCCCGAGAAAUCCCGUGUGAAUCAGCCAGGACCACCUGGUAAGCCUAAAUACUCCCAGAUGACCGAUAGCGGACAAGUACCGUGAGGGAAAGGUGAAAAGUACCCCGGGAGGGGAGUGAAAUAGUACCUGAAACCGUUUGCUUACAAACCGUUGGAGCAGCCCUAGCAGCUGUGACAGCGUGCCUUUUGAAGAAUGAGCCUGCGAGUUAGCGAUAUGUGGCGAGGUUAACCCGUGUGGGGUAGCCGUAGCGAAAGCGAGUCUGAAUAGGGCGAUUCAGUCGCAUGUCCUAGACCCGAAGCGAAGUGAUCUAUCCAUGGCCAGGUUGAAGCGAGGGUAAGACCUCGUGGAGGACCGAACCCACUUAGGUUGAAAACUGAGGGGAUGAGCUGUGGAUAGGGGUGAAAGGCCAAUCAAACUUCGUGAUAGCUGGUUCUCUCCGAAAUGCAUUUAGGUGCAGCGUUGCGUGUUUCUUGCCGGAGGUAGAGCUACUGGAUGGCCGAUGGGCCCCAAAAGGUUACUGACGUCAGCCAAACUCCGAAUGCCGGUAAGUGAGAGCGCAGCAGUGAGACGGUGGGGGAUAAGCUUCAUCGUCGAGAGGGAAACAACCCAGACCACCGACUAAGGUCCCUAAGCGUGUGCUAAGUGGAAAAGGAUGUGGAGUUGCUUAGACAACCAGGAGGUUGGCUUAGAAGCAGCCACCCUUGAAAGAGUGCGUAAUAGCUCACUGGUCAAGUGAUUCUGCGCCGACAAUUUAGCGGGGCUCAAGCACACCACCGAAGUCGUGGAAUUCGCGCAACAGCUCGGCAGCCCUCGUGGCUGUCCAGGCGUGCGGAUUGGUAGGAGAGCGUCGUGUGGCGAGUGAAGCGGCGGAGGAAUCCAGCCGUGGACGCCACACGAGUGAGAAUGCAGGCAUGAGUAGCGAAAGACUGGCGAGAAACCAGUCCUCCGAAAGACCAAGGGUUCCAGGGUCAAGCUAAUCUUCCCUGGGUAAGCCGGGACCUAAGGCGAGGCCGACAGGCGUAGUCGAUGGACAUCAGGUUGAUAAUCCUGAGCUGGCGAAGAACCGCCCAAGUCAAUCCAGUAAUGCUAAGAGUCCGAAUCCUUGGACCGAUCCCUUCGGGGUGACGUUCUUGGGCUAGCACUCGACCCUAUGCUGGUGCGGCUAGCGUAUUAACAGG